UACAGAGGCCUCAAGCGUUGUUCGGAAUUACUGGGCGUAAAGAGAAUGUAGGUGGUGAUGCAAGUCAGAUGUGAAAGCCCUGGGCUUAACCUGGGAACUGCAUUUGAUACUGCGUUGCUCGAGUGUAGGAGAGGUGAGAGGAAUUCCUGGUGUAGGGGUGAAAUCCGUAGAUAUCAGGAGGAAUACCGAUGGCGAAGGCAUCUCGCUGGCCUAUAACUGACACUGAGAUUCGAAAGCAUGGGUAGCAAACAGG
RNAcentral lists this ribosomal RNA (253 nucleotides) under uncultured bacterium. Its description in RNAcentral is "partial 16S ribosomal RNA". It matches the Rfam family "Bacterial small subunit ribosomal RNA", at positions 524 to 776 of the family's 1533-position model. The record is from RNAcentral.